AUACGUAGGGAGCGAGCGUUGUCCGGAUUUACUGGGUGUAAAGGGUGCGUAGGCGGGAUAGCAAGUCAGACGUGAAAUACCGAGGCUUAACUUCGGGGCUGCGUUUGAAACUGUUAUUCUUGAGUGAAGUAGAGGCAGGCGGGAUUCCUCGUGUAGCGGUGAAAUGCGUAGAUAUUAGGAGGAACACCAGUGGCGAAGGCGGCCUGCUGGGCUUUAACUGACGCUGAGGCACGAAAGCAUGGGGAGCAAACAGGAUUAGAUACCCUGGUAGUCCAUGCCGUAAACGAUGAUAGCUAGGUGUGGGGGGACUGACCCCUUCCGUGCCGGAGUAAACACAAUAAGCUAUCCAUCUGGGGAGUACGACCGCAAGGUUGA
RNAcentral lists this ribosomal RNA (375 nucleotides) under uncultured bacterium. RNAcentral's name for it is "bacterial SSU rRNA". It matches the Rfam family "Bacterial small subunit ribosomal RNA", at positions 523 to 897 of the family's 1533-position model. The record is from RNAcentral.